GUGUUAAUUAAUGCAAUGUUAGGUAAAAUGUUGGAACUUGUUCAACCUUUAGGCUGGUACAGUCAGUUUGUUAAAUGAAAUAUGGCAUUUGUAGACAUAUUUGUUUUUUUAAGAUUUAGUUCUCUUUUUAGAGUUUUCCUUAACCGACACUAACACUGUUUUGGAACAAUAAGAUUUAGGCAAGGAAGAGCCUGAGAGGCAGAACAACUGCUCAAGUGAAUUUAUUUAUGUUUCACACUACAUGUUUCGAGCCUCCUGGCCCUUUGUCAAGUGUAAUACACAGAAUGCUCAAUGAAACUUUUAAAGCAUACAAACAGGAAAUGACCUCAAUGUGAUCUUCAUUACCAAUUAUCACCCUCCCCCUAAAGGUGAGUAUUAAAUCGAAUAACAAUGUCCAUAAAGUCCAUGUAAAUAGGACUGGAAGUGAUUAGAGCACCAUCUAGGGGUGGAAACUUACUCCAAAGAAUCCAACAAAGAGAAAUGUAUUGGAUUAAAAAACUAGAUACGGUUACACCUAAGAGGGUCUAAAUGAAAAUUGGAGUGUUAAAUGCUUUCUAUAAUAUUAAUGGCUGUUUAUCCCCUUUCGCAGGCCUUGAAAUUUUGCCCAUUCAGAAAUAUUUGAGUACUUCUAAUGCACUUUUCACAGGGUUCUUAAUUGGACUACACCUUUUGCACAAUGGACUAUUUACAUGGACUUUAUGGACAUUGUUAUUCGAUUUAAUACUCACCUUUAGGGGGAGGGUGAUAAUUGGUAAUGAAGAUCACAUUGAGGUCAUUUCCUGUUUGUAUGCUUUAAAAGUUUCAUUGAGCAUUCUGUGUAUUACACUUGACAAAGGGCCAGGAGGCUCGAAACAUGUAGUGUGAAACAUAAAUAAAUUCACUUGAGCAGUU
This is a long non-coding RNA of Xenopus laevis (African clawed frog), 891 nucleotides long. RefSeq lists it as uncharacterized. The transcript is spliced from 2 exons. The record is from RefSeq and is a predicted model, not a curated record. NCBI's taxonomy places the organism in Eukaryota, Metazoa, Chordata, Amphibia, Anura, Pipidae.